Arachis stenosperma is the source of this 377-nucleotide long non-coding RNA. RefSeq lists it as uncharacterized. The transcript is spliced from 4 exons. NCBI's taxonomy places the organism in Eukaryota, Viridiplantae, Streptophyta, Magnoliopsida, Fabales, Fabaceae. The record is from RefSeq and is a predicted model, not a curated record.
ACUAAUAGGCCAUUCAGGGUGGAAGACUACCCAAUGUUUAUACCCUUCUUGGACCUUAAAAAGUUAGCAUCACAUCGUUAUAUUUUUGCACCUGUUUGCCAUUCAAACCAUUGGUGGUUAUGGAUCGCUGAUACAAGAAAGAAGAAAUUUUAUAUAGUCGACCCAGUACACAACAAAUCUCCUACCGAAGAGAGAACUGUGCUGAAUACAUUUGUUGAUACGUAAUAUCACGAAUUAAAGUAUAUGCUGGGGGGCACCUCUGAAAUCAAAGGACAAGGACAGGGAAAUUGUAGCACCAUACCUUCACAUCUCGGGUCAAAAGAUAAGCUAUGACUGUGCUAUCUACGUAAUGAAGUGGCUUGAGAUAUUUGAGCCCG